RNAcentral lists this ribosomal RNA (440 nucleotides) under uncultured bacterium. RNAcentral's name for it is "partial 16S ribosomal RNA". It matches the Rfam family "Bacterial small subunit ribosomal RNA", at positions 338 to 795 of the family's 1533-position model. The record is from RNAcentral.
CCUACGGGAGGCUGCAGUGGGGAAUAUUGCACAAUGGGGGAAACCCUGAUGCAGCGACGCCGCGUGAGUGAUGAAGUCUUUCGGUUUGUAAAGCUCUAUCAGCAGGGAAGAAAAUGACGGUACCUGACUAAGAAGCCCCGGCUAACUACGUGCCAGCAGCCGCGGUCAUACGUAGGGGGCAAGCGUUAUCAGGAUUUACUGGGUGUAAAGGGAGCGUAGACGGUCCUGCAAGCCAGAUGUGAAAGCCCGGGGCUUAACCCGGGGAUUGCAUUUGGAACUGUAAGGAUAGAGUGUCGUAGAGGCAGGCGGAAUUCCUAGUGUAGCGGUGAAAUGCGUAGAGAUUAGGAGGAACACCAGUGGCGAAGGCGGCCUGCUGGACGAUGACUGACGUUGAGGCGCGAAAGCGUGGGGAGCAAACAGGAUUAGAUACCCUGGUAGUC